RNAcentral lists this ribosomal RNA (392 nucleotides) under uncultured bacterium. RNAcentral describes it as "bacterial SSU rRNA". It matches the Rfam family "Bacterial small subunit ribosomal RNA", at positions 97 to 524 of the family's 1533-position model. The record is from RNAcentral.
GGCGCACGGGUGCGUAACGCGUGGGAAUCUGCCCUUGGGUUCGGAAUAACAGCGAGAAAUUGCUGCUAAUACCGGAUGAUGACGUAAGUCCAAAGAUUUAUCGCCCAGGGAUGAGCCCGCGUAGGAUUAGCUAGUUGGUGGGGUAAAGGCCUACCAAGGCGACGAUCCUUAGCUGGUCUGAGAGGAUGAUCAGCCACACUGGGACUGAGACACGGCCCAGACUCCUACGGGAGGCAGCAGUGGGGAAUAUUGGACAAUGGGCGAAAGCCUGAUCCAGCAAUGCCGCGUGAGUGAUGAAGGCCCUAGGGUUGUAAAGCUCUUUUACCCGGGAUGAUAAUGACAGUACCGGGAGAAUAAGCUCCGGCUAACUCCGUGCCAGCAGCCGCGGUAAU